This 1231-nucleotide long non-coding RNA is filed under the name Setaria viridis. Its description in RNAcentral is "long non-coding RNA (SVIR_LNC004952)". The record is from RNAcentral. Lineage: Eukaryota; Viridiplantae; Streptophyta; Magnoliopsida; Poales; Poaceae.
CUUUGUUCUCAUGUACAAUCAAAGGAGCACACAUGCAUGCCCAGCCCAACCUCUCUAUCUGCGUACACACGGUGCACCCCUGAAAACCAAGGAAAAGAAUGCUUAUGCGACGCUGAAGGAGCUGGCCGCCUUCUCGACGCCCUUCCUGGCGCCCUUGAACCACCUCUUGUCGCCGGCCUGCGCCUUGCAGAUGUAGAGCUUGCCGUCCGAGACGGUGGCCGUGAUGAGCUGGUGCUUGCCGCCCUCGUCGCCGUCCGCCGUCCUCGUCAGCACCGACACGCUGUAGUACUGCUUCCCGUCCACCACCGGCGCCGAGCUCUCCAGGAUGUUGGCUGUCGCCACCGCGUCGGUCUCGAACCCGCCCUGCACGCGCAAGCACAGGUAAAUAGCCGUCGCCGAAUGAAUCAGAGAUUAAUUAGAUGCAGCAUGUGAACUAGUAGAACUAGAACAAACCUCGGAGUCAGUCUUGCCGCUGUAGGCCUGCUUGCCGAGGAGGUAGUCGACCUGGGCGAGGAACUGCUCCGGGGAGCCGAACUCGGUGAUGGUCUUCUUGGUGGUGGGCUGGACCAUGACGGAGACGUUGCUGUUGGCGUCGAAGUUGUCCUCGUAGCGGAGGACCUGGCCGGGGAACUCGCGCUCCUUGCUGGGGUUCCACUUGGACGGGAUCAGCAGCUUGAACCCGUCGCCGCUGUAGGCGAUGAAGUCCGUGUUCGCCUUGGGCUUCCCGAACACGUUGGCUGCAACCAAGCAAGCAAGCGCGAUUGCAAUCAAGAUUCAAUAACCGACCGAGAUCCAUCAAGCUACCCAGGAGCUGAGACAUUAAGCGCGUGUUGUUACCUGCUUCUCCGUAGGCGGCGGCGGCGGGGCUCACCUUGGCGCCGACGGCGGCGACGCCGGCGAGGAGCGUGAGCGCGGCGCGGCGGGUGACCGCGGCGGCGUCACCGCUCUCGGCGGCGGCGUCCUGCCUCUGCGCCUUGCAGACGAGCUGGGCCCGCGGCACCUGGGGGCGCGCCGAGGCGGCGGCGGCGCCGAGGCGAGCGGUGGACUGGAGGAGGAAGCAGGAGGUGGACGCCAUGGCUGCCGCUCGUUGCUCGCUAGCUGGCUCCUGCUGCUGCUGCUACUAUCUUCCUCUAGAAGACUUGUGGAUGCACCGGACGCUACGAGUGAUAACGAGGGGAGGGACCGAGGGAGCGGUGGGGUCGGCACGGCGAGGCUUCGUUUGGUGUGCGGC